CCCUUAGAUGUCCGGGGCCGCACGCGCGCUACACUGAAGGAAUCAGCGUGGCUUUCUCCCUGACCCGAAAGGGUUGGGAAACCCGUUGAAUCUCCUUCGUGAUAGGGAUUGGGGCUUGAAAUUGUUCCCCAUGAACGAGGAAUUCCCAGUAAGCGCGAGUCAUAAGCUCGCGUUGAUUACGUCCCUGCCCUUUGUACACACCGCCCGUCGCUACUACCGAUUGAACGGUUUAGUGAUGGCCUCGGAUUGGUCUCGGCCCGCUCUUUACCGGGCGGCGCCGUUGGUCGAGAAGACGCUCGAACUUGAUCGUUUAGAGGAAGUAAAAGUCGUAACA
RNAcentral lists this ribosomal RNA (334 nucleotides) under uncultured eukaryote. RNAcentral's name for it is "partial 18S ribosomal RNA". It matches the Rfam family "Eukaryotic small subunit ribosomal RNA", at positions 1470 to 1796 of the family's 1831-position model. The record is from RNAcentral.